UCUCACCAAGUAAGCAUUUUAUCAUCUCAUUAUCACCACAAAGGUGCAUGAUGAAAUGUAUGAAAUGAUAUAAUGUCUGGGAUUUGCUUGAAAAUAAUCACAGUUGUGGGAGGAAGUAAGAAUACAGACAAAACAACAAACAAGAUUGGGCAGGAGCUGACCGUUGUUUAAGAUGAUCACAGAUAUAAGACGUUCUGACAAAGAUUUCCUGAAAAGAUACAGGGUUGAAAGAAGCAAGCAAUUUCAGCUGCUGCCCAACACAGGAGAAAAAGUUUGGAGCCCAGCUGUCUGGAGAAUAUGUUCCUUUUGAGCUAUAUAUAGCCUUGAUAUAUACUUU
This 337-nucleotide long non-coding RNA is filed under the name Homo sapiens (human). RNAcentral describes it as "HSALNT0201446". Lineage: Eukaryota; Metazoa; Chordata; Mammalia; Primates; Hominidae. The record is from RNAcentral.